GAAAUCAAGGCGAUUGCGCAUUAACAUGUGAGGAAAGUCCGGGCACCAAAAAGACGCGCUCCAGCUAACUGCUGGCUGUCGUAAGGCAAGGGAAAGUGGCACAGAAACUAAACCGCCCUGAGUUAAUCGAAGGGUAAGGAUGAAAAGAGUGGGGUAAGAGCCCACAACUUUCUCAGUAAUGAGAAUUGGAAGCUAAACCCAGUGUGGUGCAAGUUGAGUGGGUCGUUACAAAAUUAGUUCAUUGGUUCGCCAGCGCGAGCAAACGAGCUUCCGCUUAGUCUUUAAGUAUUGUAACGAUCUCAACGCUUAGAGAAAUAAUCGCUAUCCGCCAGCUGGCGGAACAGAACCCGGCUUAAUGAUUUCCAAA
This 367-nucleotide RNase P RNA is filed under the name Candidatus Berkelbacteria bacterium. RNAcentral describes it as "RNase P RNA component class A". It matches the Rfam family "Bacterial RNase P class A". From Rfam's summary of the family: Ribonuclease P (RNase P) is a ubiquitous endoribonuclease, found in archaea, bacteria and eukarya as well as chloroplasts and mitochondria. Its best characterised activity is the generation of mature 5'-ends of tRNAs by cleaving the 5'-leader elements of precursor-tRNAs. Lineage: Bacteria; Candidatus Berkelbacteria. The record is from RNAcentral.